UUAAUUGAACAUCUCUAAGAUGUAAACAGUCGUUUGCAUUACCUGUGUUAAACCAUUUUGCAAUGACUCAGACUUUACAAAUACAAUAAGACACAUCUAACUUAAUAAAAUGCAAGUGUAUGCAUGGCCUGCUGUGUGCGACGGCACAAGUAUAUAAUACGAGAAACUAACUUUGAAGCUAGAGUGAAUAACAAUGAGGCGCC
This 203-nucleotide long non-coding RNA is filed under the name Mytilus galloprovincialis (Mediterranean mussel). Lineage: Eukaryota; Metazoa; Mollusca; Bivalvia; Mytilida; Mytilidae. The record is from RNAcentral.